This 253-nucleotide ribosomal RNA is filed under the name uncultured bacterium. Its description in RNAcentral is "partial 16S ribosomal RNA". It matches the Rfam family "Bacterial small subunit ribosomal RNA", at positions 524 to 776 of the family's 1533-position model. The record is from RNAcentral.
CACGCAGGGGGCUAGCAUUGUUGGGAAUUACUGGGCGUAAAGCGCACGUAGGCGGACUUGUAAGUUGGGGGUGAAAUCCCGGGGCUCAACCCCGGAAUUGCCUUCAAGACUGCAAGUCUGGAGGUCAGGAGAGGCGAGCGGAAUUCCGAGUGUAGAGGUGAAAUUCGUAGAUAUUCGGAGGAACACCAGUGGCGAAGGCGGCUCGCUGGACUGAUACUGACGCUGAGGUGCGAAAGCGUGGGGAGCAAACAGG